GUUACUGUUCAUCAUGGGGGUACCGUGGACAAGCCCAGGGCUGCCGGCGAGUCAUGCCAUCCUUACAUGUUUCUCCUUGUAAGGUGCUUUGUAGUGUCUACACACUUUGUUUCUAGAUUGCUGCAAAGCUGAGGAAAAGUUGUAUUUCUUUAGUUAUUAGUUAGCAUUUCUUUUAAACUUUCAGUAUGGAGAUUGGAAAUUUAUUUACAUAUUUAUUGCAAAGCCCUGGAUCUUAGGAAUUUCAUUGAAUUAUUUAUUUAUUUUUUUUGAGACGGAGCCUCACUCUGUCGCCCAGGCUGGAGUGCAGUGGCACGAUCUCGGCUCACUGCAACCUCCGCCUCCCAGUAUAUUAAUUGUUUUCACUCUCUGAAUCUUUUUUCCCCAUUUCUUUGGCAGACAUUUUUACUUGUCUUGGAAGAGUAGGUGAAGAGCUGUUUUUAGGACUCUUUGAAAUUUUCCUUCUGCCUUCUGUAGUGGGAUGAUGCAGCAAGAAGACCCUUACCAGAUGCAGGCCCCUCAACCUUGGACUUCCUAACAUCCAGAACUGUUAAGAAAUAAAAUUUAUUCCUUUCCUUUCCUUUUCUUUGUCCUACAAAAGAGCAUACCUCUUCUGUAACCAGAAGGCCCUUUUGAUUAGUCAAGGCUGGACAGAGUGAGAUUGGGUGUGUGUGUGUGUGUGUGUGUGUGUGUGUGUGUGUGUGUGUUUGUGUGUGUCUUGAGACAGGGUCUCACUCUGUCACCAAGGCUAGAGUGCAGUGGUGAGAUCAGAGCUCACUGCAGCUUCCACUUCCUGGGCUCAAGUGAGUGAAAUUACCAUAAAAAUAAUAAUAGUAGCAGCUAAUAUUUACUGAGCUGUUACUAGGUGCCGAAGCCCUUAAAUUUUGUUUUUCACAUAUCGUUUAAAACUUUUAAGUGCUGAUGUCUGUACAGGACCACAGGACCGGGGCGAAAUUAAAAUUGCUAAUGAAGUUUCGGGCGCGCAUUGUCAUUGAUAACAUCUUAUCAGGAGAAAGGGUUUGAGAGCAGACAACCCAUCUGACCAACAUUUAUUAGGCGGGAAUUUCCUUGUCCUGAUAAGGCUGGGAGCGCCACGCGAACCCAGGGCUUAUUUCAUCCCUUAUCUAUGACUGUAAAAGACAGCCGUCCCCAAAGCGGCCAUUUCAGAGGCCUCCCCUUAGGGAUGCAUUCUCUUUCUCAGGGAUGUUCUUUGCUGAGAAAAAGAAUUCAGCAAUACUUCUCCUAUUUGCUUUUGAAAGAAGAGAAAUAUGGCUCUGUUCAACCCGGCCCACUGGCAGCCAGAGUUUAAGGUUAUCUCCC
Molecule: long non-coding RNA, 1317 nt
Filed under: Homo sapiens (human)
Lineage: Eukaryota; Metazoa; Chordata; Mammalia; Primates; Hominidae
Description: non-protein coding lnc-OR4F16-15:1
Source: RNAcentral